GACGAACGCUGGCGGCGUGCUUAACACAUGCAAGUCGAACGCUGAAGCUCAGCUUUUGUUGGGUGGAUGAGUGGCGAACGGGUGAGUAACACGUGAGUAACCUGCCUCCUUCUUUGGGAUAACGCCCGGAAACGGGUGCUAAUACUGGAUAUUCACUGGUCUUCGCAUGGGGGUUGGUGGAAAGGGUUUUUCUGGUGGGGGAUGGGCUCGCGGCCUAUCAGCUUGUUGGUGGGGUGAUGGCCUACCAAGGCUUUGACGGGUAGCCGGCCUGAGAGGGUGACCGGUCACAUUGGGACUGAGAUACGGCCCAGACUCCUACGGGAGGCAGCAGUGGGGAAUAUUGCACAAUGGGCGCAAGCCUGAUGCAGCGACGCCGCGUGAGGGAUGGAGGCCUUCGGGUUGUGAACCUCUUUCGCUCAUGGUCAAGCCGCAACAAUGGUUGUGGUGAGGUUAGUGGGUAAAGAAGCGCCGGCUAACUACGUG
This 483-nucleotide ribosomal RNA is filed under the name uncultured bacterium. Its description in RNAcentral is "partial 16S ribosomal RNA". It matches the Rfam family "Bacterial small subunit ribosomal RNA", at positions 28 to 507 of the family's 1533-position model. The record is from RNAcentral.